CAUGAGACCGGGCAUCAAGGACAGCCAGCCUGAAGGUGAAGCCCCCGAGGACAGCCAGAAAGCUGGAAGCGCCUGGGACUGUCACACCCCGGGCCAGGAGGUCCGCCCGGCGCCCUCGCGCUUUGGACCGGAGCUAACCGAGGCCUGGCAACCGAGGCCAGCCCAGUUCUGCACUCUGCUGAGGACUUCUCAGACUCCGCCCCAAGGCUCUGUGGACUGCAAGUGAAGUGACCACAGUGUCCUGGCCGGUAGGGUGACACAGAAGGAAAAAGCCCUUCUGUUAACUCAUCUAGAAUAUCUCCUGGAUCUUCACUGUCUCACUGGAUGGAAGCAUUUCCAGCUUCUCUCUACACACUCCUGGGCCACAAGCUCAGCUCUUGCACCCUGAAGCCGAUGUGAAGUAAAACAAGGGUG
Molecule: long non-coding RNA, 414 nt
Filed under: Heterocephalus glaber (naked mole-rat)
Lineage: Eukaryota; Metazoa; Chordata; Mammalia; Rodentia; Bathyergidae
Description: lncRNA (ENSHGLG00000051003.1)
Source: RNAcentral